CUCAAGGCCCCUCAACCUGAGGCAGAUCUUCCUAGGAGCCCUGGAAACUUGAUGGAGAGAGAAGAGCUGGCAGGGAGCCUGGCCCGGGCUAUUGCAGGUGGAGACGAGAAGGGGGCAGCCCAAGCGGCAGCCGUCUUGGCCCAGCAUCGUGUGGCCCUCAGUGUUCAGCUUCAGGAGGCCUGCUUCCCACCUGGCCCCAUCAGGCUGCAGGUCACACUUGAAGACGCUGCCUCUGCCGCAUCUACCGCGUCCUCUGCACAUGUUGCCCUGCAGGUCCACCCCCACUGCACCGUUGCAGCUCUCCAGGAGCAGGUGGGCACAGGGUCUAGGGAGCCCUGCCAGGAGCAGAGGAGCCUAGGUGACAUCACCUGCCCUGAUGCUCUGGCUACAGGUGUUCUCAGAGCUCGGUUUCCCGCCAGCCGUGCAACGCUGGGUCAUCGGACGGUGCCUGUGUGUGCCUGAGCGCAGCCUUGCCUCCUAUGGGGUUCGGCAGGAUGGGGACCCUGCUUUCCUCUACUUGC
Molecule: small RNA, 521 nt
Filed under: Pongo abelii (Sumatran orangutan)
Lineage: Eukaryota; Metazoa; Chordata; Mammalia; Primates; Hominidae
Description: retained intron
Source: RNAcentral